AAUGAACGCUGGCGGCAGGCCUAACACAUGCAAGUCGAACGCACCGCAAGGUGAGUGGCAGACGGGUGAGUAACGCGUGGGAACCUUCCCUUUGGUUCAGGAUAGCCCCGAGAAACUGGGAUUAAUACUGGAUAAGAUCUACGGAUGAAAGAUUUAUCGCCGAAGGAUGGGCCCGCGUAAGAUUAGCUAGUUGGUGAGGUAAUGGCUCACCAAGGCUUUGAUCUUUAGCUGGUCUGAGAGGAUGAUCAGCCACACUGGAACUGAGACACGGUCCAGACUCCUACGGGAGGCAGCAGUGAGGAAUAUUGGACAAUGGGCGCAAGCCUGAUCCAGCCAUGCCGCGUGAGUGAUGAAGGCCUUAGGGUUGUAAAACUCUUUUAGUGGGGAAAAUAAUGAUGGUACCCACAGAAAAAGCUCCGGCUAACUUCGUGCCAGCCGCCGCCGUAA
This 447-nucleotide ribosomal RNA is filed under the name uncultured bacterium. RNAcentral's name for it is "partial 16S ribosomal RNA". It matches the Rfam family "Bacterial small subunit ribosomal RNA", at positions 29 to 523 of the family's 1533-position model. The record is from RNAcentral.